AAGCGCAACUGGGAUGAUUGCUGCUGGUGCCCCCAC
This 36-nucleotide non-coding RNA is filed under the name Oxyrrhis marina. Lineage: Eukaryota; Dinophyceae; Oxyrrhinales; Oxyrrhinaceae. The record is from RNAcentral.